UUAGAAGAGAUGGUCCUUCUUUGCCGCAAUUUUGGGUGUAUUUGGGUGAAUGGAAUUUAGGAUGAUUUUAGGUUUCUUUUAAUGUGACUUAUAGUGACAUGCAGCCGAGCAUUAUAUAAAAAAUUUAAAUAAAUAUUUAGGUGGUUUAAUUUUUUUUUUUAUUGUGAUUUAGUGUUAUAUACAGCCAAGUGCCCGAGCUCUCGGAUCAGGUAUUCCUAAAGAAGAUUAGAAUGUAAGUCUUUGGAGGCUGAACUCCCAUGCUAUAUUAUUAGGUCGAGCUUCUGGCGGCACAUCCCUAG
RNAcentral lists this long non-coding RNA (299 nucleotides) under Elaeis guineensis (African oil palm). RNAcentral's name for it is "long non-coding RNA (EGUI_LNC059850)". The record is from RNAcentral. Lineage: Eukaryota; Viridiplantae; Streptophyta; Magnoliopsida; Arecales; Arecaceae.